This 254-nucleotide ribosomal RNA is filed under the name uncultured bacterium. Its description in RNAcentral is "partial 16S ribosomal RNA". It matches the Rfam family "Bacterial small subunit ribosomal RNA", at positions 524 to 776 of the family's 1533-position model. The record is from RNAcentral.
UACGGGGGGAGCAAGCGUUGUUCGGAUUUACUGGGCGUAAAGGGCGCGUAGGCGGUCGUGACAAGUCACUUGUGAAAUCUCCGGGCUUAACUCGGAACGGUCAAGUGAUACUGUCGGACUAGAGUACAGAAGGGGCAACUGGAAUUCUCGGUGUAGCGGUGAAAUGCGUAGAUAUCGAGAGGAACACCAGUGGCGAAGGCGAGUCUCUGGACAUUUCCUGACGCUGAGGCACGAAAGCCAGAGGAGCAAACGGG